GAUGAACGCUGGCGGCGUGCCUAAUACAUGCAAGUCGAGCGAACGGACGAGAAGCUUGCUUCUCUGAUGUUAGCGGCGGACGGGUGAGUAACACGUGGAUAACCUACCUAUAAGACUGGGAUAACUUCGGGAAACCGGAGCUAAUACCGGAUAAUAUUUUGAACCGCAUGGUUCAAAAGUGAAAGACGGUCUUGCUGUCACUUAUAGAUGGAUCCGCGCUGCAUUAGCUAGUUGGUAAGGUAACGGCUUACCAAGGCAACGAUGCAUAGCCGACCUGAGAGGGUGAUUCGCCACACUGGAACUGAGACACGGUCCAGACUCCUAAGGGAGGCAGCAGUAGGGAAUCUUCCGGCAUGGGCGAAAGCCUGACGGAGCAACGCCGCGUGAGUGAUGAAGGUCUUCGGAUCGUAAAACUCUGUUAUUAGGGAAGAACAUAUGUGUAAGUAACUGUGCACAUCUUGACGGUACCUAAUCAGAAAGCCACGGCUAACUACGUG
Molecule: ribosomal RNA, 497 nt
Filed under: uncultured bacterium
Lineage: Bacteria
Description: partial 16S ribosomal RNA
Rfam family: Bacterial small subunit ribosomal RNA
Source: RNAcentral